RNAcentral lists this ribosomal RNA (240 nucleotides) under uncultured bacterium. Its description in RNAcentral is "partial 16S ribosomal RNA". The record is from RNAcentral.
CUGCUGCCUCCCGUAGGAGUCUGGGCCGUAUCUCAGUCCCAAUGUGGCCGGCCAACCUCUCAGUCCGGCUACUGAUCGUCGCCUUGGUGGGCCGUUACCUCACCAACUAGCUAAUCAGACGCGAGGCCAUCUUCCAGCGAUAAAUCUUUGACAUUCAAACCAUGCGAUUCAAAUGCAUCAUGCGGUAUUAGCAGUCGUUUCCAACUGUUGUCCCCCUCUGGAAGGCAGGUUCCUCACGCG